GAUGAACGCUGGCGGCGUGCCUAAUACAUGCGAGUCGAGCGAAUGGAUUAAGAGCUUGCUCUUAUGAAGUUAGCGGCGGACGGGUGAGUAACGCGUGGGUAACCUGCCCAUAAGACUGGGAUAACUCCGGGAAACCGGGGCUAAUACCGGAUAACAUUUUGAACCGCAUGGUUCGAAAUCGAAAGGCGGCUUCGGCUGUCACUUAUGGAUGGACCGGCGUCGCAUUAGCUAGUUGGUGAGGUAACGGCUCACCAAGGCAACGAUGCGUAGCCGACCUGAGAGGGUGGUCGGCCACACUGGGACUGAGACACGGCCCAGACUCCUACGGGAGGCAGCAGUAGGGAAUCUUCCGCAAUGGACGAAAGUCUGACGGAGCAACGCCGCGUGAGUGAUGAAGGCUUUCGGGUCGUAAAACUCUGUUGUUAGGGAAGAACAAGUGCUAGUUGAAUAAGCUGGCACCUUGACGGUACCUAACCAGAAAGCCACGGCUAACUACGUGCCAGCCGCCGCGGUAA
Molecule: ribosomal RNA, 515 nt
Filed under: uncultured bacterium
Lineage: Bacteria
Description: partial 16S ribosomal RNA
Rfam family: Bacterial small subunit ribosomal RNA
Source: RNAcentral